GACGAACGCUGGCGGCGUGCUUAACACAUGCAAGUCGAACGGAAAGGCCCUGCUUUUGUGGGGUGCUCGAGUGGCGAACGGGUGAGUAACACGUGAGUAACCUGCCCUUGACUUUGGGAUAACUUCAGGAAACUGGGGCUAAUACCGGAUAGGAGCUCCUGCUGCAUGGUGGGGGUUGGAAAGUUUCGGCGGUUGGGGAUGGACUCGCGGCGUAUCAGCUUGUUGGUGGGGUAGUGGCUUACCAAGGCUUUGACGGGUAGCCGGGCUGAGAGGGUGACCGGCCACACUGGGACUGGGAUACGGCACAGACUCCUACGGGAGGCAGCAGUGGGGAAUAGUGCAUAAUGGGCGGAAGCCUGAUGCAGCAACGCCGCGUGGGGGAUGACGGCCAUCGGGUUGUAAACCGCUUUCGCCUGUGACGAAGCGUGAGUGACGGUAAUGGGUAAAGAAGCACCGGCUAACUACGUG
RNAcentral lists this ribosomal RNA (468 nucleotides) under uncultured bacterium. RNAcentral's name for it is "partial 16S ribosomal RNA". It matches the Rfam family "Bacterial small subunit ribosomal RNA", at positions 28 to 507 of the family's 1533-position model. The record is from RNAcentral.